GAUGGACGCUGGCGGCGUGCCUAAUACAUGCAAGUCGAGCGAACAGAUGAGGAGCUUGCUCCUCUGACGUUAGCGGCGGACGGGUGAGUAACACGUGGGUAACCUACCUAUAAGACUGGGAUAACUUCGGGAAACCGGAGCUAAUACCGGAUAAUAUAUUGAACCGCAUGGUUCAAAAGUGAAAGACGGUUUUGCUGUCACUUAUAGAUGGAUCCGCGCCGCAUUAGCUAGUUGGUAAGGUAACGGCUUACCAAGGCAACGAUGCGUAGCCGACCUGAGAGGGUGAUCGGCCACACUGGAACUGAGACACGGUCCAGACUCCUACGGGAGGCAGCAGUAGGGAAUCUUCCGCAAUGGGCGAAAGCCUGACGGAGCAACGCCGCGUGAGUGAUGAAGGUCUUCGGAUCGUAAAACUCUGUUAUUAGGGAAGAACAAAUGUGUAAGUAACUAUGCACGUCUUGACGGUACCUAAUCAGAAAGCCACGGCUAACUACGUG
This 497-nucleotide ribosomal RNA is filed under the name uncultured bacterium. RNAcentral's name for it is "partial 16S ribosomal RNA". It matches the Rfam family "Bacterial small subunit ribosomal RNA", at positions 28 to 507 of the family's 1533-position model. The record is from RNAcentral.